GUGUCAGCCGCCGCGGUAAUACAGAGGGUGCAAGCGUUAAUCGGAUUUAGUGGGCGUAAAGCGCGCGUAGGUGGACAAUUAAGUCAAAUGUGAAAUCCCCGAGCUUAACUUGGGAAUUGCAUUCGAUACUGGUUGGCUAGAGUAUGGGAGGGGAUGGUAGAAUUCCAGGUGUAGCGGUGAAAUGCGUAGAGAUCUGGAGGAAUACCGAUGGCGAAGGCAGCCAACUGGCCUAAUACUGACACUGAGGUGCGAAAGCUUGGGGAGCAAACAGG
Molecule: ribosomal RNA, 272 nt
Filed under: uncultured prokaryote
Description: partial 16S ribosomal RNA
Rfam family: Bacterial small subunit ribosomal RNA
Source: RNAcentral